CCGGUCUCGGGCCGGGGUCGGACCGCGGCCCGGGGUCCGCCCCCGGCCCGGAGGCCGGCCGCGGCCGCGCCCCCGGUACGGCGCCGGGGUCCGGCCC
RNAcentral lists this transfer RNA (97 nucleotides) under Streptomyces hygroscopicus subsp. hygroscopicus. RNAcentral describes it as "tRNA-Arg". Lineage: Bacteria; Bacillati; Actinomycetota; Actinomycetes; Kitasatosporales; Streptomycetaceae. The record is from RNAcentral.